Molecule: ribosomal RNA, 450 nt
Filed under: uncultured bacterium
Lineage: Bacteria
Description: bacterial SSU rRNA
Rfam family: Bacterial small subunit ribosomal RNA
Source: RNAcentral
UGGGGAAUUUUUCGCAAUGGGGGCAACCCUGACGAAGCAACGCCGCGUGGAGGAUGAAGGCCUUCGGGUUGUAAACUCCUGUCGACCGGGACGAAAGUUAUCUGGGCUAACAUCCCAGGUAAUCGACUGUACCGGUGGAGGAAGCCACGGCUAACUCUGUGCCAGCAGCCGCGGUAAUACAGAGGUGGCAAGCGUUGUUCGGAAUUACUGGGCGUAAAGGGCGCGUAGGCGGUCUUGUAAGUCUCGUGUGAAAUCCCUCGGCUUAACUGAGGAACUGCACGGGAUACUGCAUGACUUGAGAUCGGGAGAGGGAAGCGGAAUUCCGGGUGUAGCGGUGAAAUGCGUAGAUAUCCGGAGGAACACCGGUGGCGAAGGCGGCUUCCUGGACCGACACUGACGCUGAGGCGCGAAAGCUAGGGGAGCAAACGGGAUUAGAUACCCCCGUAGUCC